GACGAACGCUGGCGGCGUGCCUAAUACAUGUAAGUAGAACGCACAGUUUAUACCGUAGCUUGCUCCACCAUAGACUGUGAGUUGCGAACGGGUGAGUAACGCGUAGGUAACCUGCCUGGUAGCGGGGGAUAACUAUUGGAAACGAUAGCUAAUACCGCAUAAUAUUAAUUAUUGCAUGAUAAUUAAUUGAAAGGUGCAAUUGCACCACUACCAGAUGGACCUGCGUUGUAUUAGCUAGUAGGUGAGGUAACGGCUCACCUAGGCGACGAUACAUAGCCGACCUGAGAGGGUGAUCGGCCACACUGGGACUGAGACACGGCCCAGACUCCUACGGGAGGCAGCAGUAGGGAAUCUUCGGCAAUGGACGAAAGUCUGACCGAGCAACGCCGCGUGAGUGAAGAAGGUUUUCGGAUCGUAAAGCUCUGUUGUAAGAGAAGAACGGGUGUGAGAGUGGAAAGUUCACACUGUGACGGUAUCUUACCAGAAAGGGACGGCUAACUACGUG
RNAcentral lists this ribosomal RNA (505 nucleotides) under uncultured bacterium. RNAcentral's name for it is "partial 16S ribosomal RNA". It matches the Rfam family "Bacterial small subunit ribosomal RNA", at positions 28 to 507 of the family's 1533-position model. The record is from RNAcentral.